CGCCUCUAGACAAAAAAUUAGAGGUCCAUUCUGCCCAAUGCCCUACGGGGUAAAUGGCCGCGGUAGCCUGACCGUGCUAAGGUAGCAUAAUCAUUUGCCGCUUAAUUGGUGGCUGGAAUGAAUGAAUAUACGAGAGCUUAGCUGUCUCAUUUUUACUAUUAAAAAUUGACCCUCAAGUGAAGAGACUUGAAUUUCCCAAAAAGACGAAAAGACCCUAUAGAGCUUGACUUACAACAAAUAUUUUAUUUGAAAAAAGUUUAGUUGGGGCAACUAGAGAGUAGCUAAAACCUCUCUUCUCAAUUUUAUAAAGAUCCGUUUUAACGAAAAGAAGAAAAAGCUACCUUAGGGAUAACAGGCUAAUCCUCUUUAAGAGACCAUAUUGACAAGAGGGAUUGGCACCUCGAUGUUGGCUCAAGGUUACAGUUUGAUGCAGCAGUCAAACAAAGUAGGUUUGUUCACCCUUUAAACCCUU
RNAcentral lists this ribosomal RNA (472 nucleotides) under Polydora lingulicola. RNAcentral describes it as "Polydora sp. HA-2019 partial 16S ribosomal RNA". It matches the Rfam family "Bacterial large subunit ribosomal RNA", at positions 1829 to 2597 of the family's 2925-position model. Lineage: Eukaryota; Metazoa; Annelida; Polychaeta; Spionida; Spionidae. The record is from RNAcentral.